GACCUCGUAUCUAGCUCAAUUGGUAGAGGAUUGGACUAGCAAACCGAAAGUCGUGGGUUCAAUUCCCACCGCGGUCA
This is a non-coding RNA of Paramuricea clavata, 77 nucleotides long. NCBI's taxonomy places the organism in Eukaryota, Metazoa, Cnidaria, Anthozoa, Malacalcyonacea, Plexauridae. The record is from the annotation of a GenBank genome assembly.